This 434-nucleotide ribosomal RNA is filed under the name uncultured bacterium. RNAcentral describes it as "partial 16S ribosomal RNA". It matches the Rfam family "Bacterial small subunit ribosomal RNA", at positions 29 to 507 of the family's 1533-position model. The record is from RNAcentral.
AGCGAACGCUGGCGGCAGGCCUAACACAUGCAAGUCGAACGAACCUUUCGGGGUUAGUGGCGGACGGGUGAGUAACACGUGGGAACGUGCCUUUAGGUUCGGAAUAACUCAGGGAAACUUGUGCUAAUACCGAAUGUGCCCUUCGGGGGAAAGAUUUAUCGCCUUUAGAGCGGCCCGCGUCUGAUUAGCUAGUUGGUUGAGGUAAUGGCUCACCAAGGCGACGAUCAGUAGCUGGUCUGAGAGGAUGAUCAGCCACAUUGGGACUGAGACACGGCCCAAACUACUACGGGAGGCAGCAGUGGGGACUCUUGCGCAAUGGGCGAAAGCCUGACGCAGCCAUGCCGCGUGAAUGAUGAAGGUCUUAGGAUUGUAAAAUUCUUUCAACGGGGACGAUAAUGACGGUACCCGGAGAAGAAGCACCGGCUAACUUCGUG